GACGGAGGGUGCUAGCGUUGUUCGGAAUUACUGGGCGUAAAGGGCGCGUAGGCGGUGUGUCAAGUCAGGCGUGAAAGCCCCGGGCUCAACCUGGGAACAGCGCUUGAGACUGGCACGCUCGAGUUCGGGAGAGGAUGGUGGAAUUCCCAGUGUAGAGGUGAAAUUCGUAGAUAUUGGGAAGAACACCGAUGGCGAAGGCAGCCAUCUGGACCGACACUGACGCUGAGGCGCGAAAGCGUGGGGAGCAAACAGG
RNAcentral lists this ribosomal RNA (253 nucleotides) under uncultured bacterium. Its description in RNAcentral is "partial 16S ribosomal RNA". It matches the Rfam family "Bacterial small subunit ribosomal RNA", at positions 524 to 776 of the family's 1533-position model. The record is from RNAcentral.